UUCUAGUUGAUCUUCUCAAUGGGUAUUGUACUUGAUGCUGAGCUGGAUCUUGUAAUACAGGUAUAUGUUGUACAGGAGACAUAGGUUGUAUAGGAGGCAUAGGUUGUACAGGAGACAUAGGUUGUAUAGGAGGCAUAGGUUGUAAGGCGACAUAGGUUGUAUAGGUUCCAUAGGUUGUGUAGGAGCCAUUGGUUGAACAUCAAGUUGGUUUAGGUUUUCCGGUUGAAGGAAAGGGGUGAAUCUUUGUAGUUCUGGGUAUCUUCGCAUUAUUGCAAAUGUUAGUGUCAGUAAGGAAACAGUGAUAUAAAGAAAGGAAUCUGCAGAAAAGAAAAAA
RNAcentral lists this long non-coding RNA (334 nucleotides) under Mytilus galloprovincialis (Mediterranean mussel). Lineage: Eukaryota; Metazoa; Mollusca; Bivalvia; Mytilida; Mytilidae. The record is from RNAcentral.